Molecule: non-coding RNA, 20 nt
Filed under: Arabidopsis thaliana (thale cress)
Lineage: Eukaryota; Viridiplantae; Streptophyta; Magnoliopsida; Brassicales; Brassicaceae
Source: RNAcentral
GCCGGCGAUGCGUCCUGGUC